GCGAAGAUCGGGCCGGCGGCCGCGGUAAUACGAAGGUGGUAGGCGUUGUUGUGAUUUACUGGGGGUACAGGGAGCGUAGGCGGUUGGAUAAGCCCUCCGUGAAAUCGCCAGGCGUAACCUGGAAAGGGCAGAGGGGACGGGUCAGCUAGAGGAUGGGAGAGGAGCGCGGAAUUCCCGGUGUAGCGGUGAAAUGCGUAGAGAUCGGGAGGAAGGCCGGUGGCGAAGGCGGCGCUCUGGAACAUUUCUGACGCUGAGGCUCGAAAGCGUGGGGAGCAAACAGGAUUAGAUACCCCAGUAGUC
Molecule: ribosomal RNA, 300 nt
Filed under: uncultured Pyrococcus sp.
Lineage: Archaea; Methanobacteriati; Methanobacteriota; Thermococci; Thermococcales; Thermococcaceae
Description: bacterial SSU rRNA
Rfam family: Bacterial small subunit ribosomal RNA
Source: RNAcentral